Molecule: long non-coding RNA, 1948 nt
Organism: Pundamilia nyererei
Lineage: Eukaryota; Metazoa; Chordata; Actinopteri; Cichliformes; Cichlidae
Exons: 3
Source: RefSeq, a predicted model, not a curated record
GCCUCCCAGCAAAUUACACACAGGUGCCACAAACGAGGGGUGUGGUGACUCUGGCCAGUGAUGGAUUUACUGGCACGCAGGAAAACCCAGCACUCACUCGGACCAUGACAAUUUUAACCUGCAGUUCAUAAAUAAAAGAAUAAACAGAAGUAACAGAAAGACAUCAGCUUUAAAUGUUUCCUCACAUGUGGAGCUCUGUAAGCUGUAAAUUUUUAAUUUUGCACUCUUGUUUAAGUUUGUCAACAAUGAUCUUUUUUAAGCUUUCAAUUUCAAAGAAAUACUCUAAUUUAAUUUCAUUAAUAAUUUAAUUGUCAUUUCACAUCAUGCAAUUUGAACUUUACCCUAUGAGGAUGUAAAGUUAAAAGCAGUUUCAGCAGAUGUGUCUGCAGGUUUAUGAAUUUAUAGAUCAUAUCCUGAAGUCGUUGCCAUGUGAGAGUCAGUGUAUACCUAAUUUUUCGUCUGCAGCCCCCUCACAGAAGUUUAAAAAGUUGGAAUUCUGUGAAUAUGUUCAUUAAGCUUUCCAGUUAUAAUGAAAUAACCUUUGCAGCGCUGAGGAGCUGAAGCUUCUGACACACACUGAAACAUUUCUGUUAGCAGCAGUCUGUUCCUCACUGUGAUCCCGACCUCUGCCAAGUCACAAAGGAAAUAAAUGAUGAAGUGAAGUGAAGUCAUAGUUUGGACUAACGUGCUGAGCGUUUGAUGAGCAACACAAACAUGUGAAAUUUAAUCUACAACUCUUAAAAACAAUAAGAUGUGUUCAGCUCAGACCUGCCUAACAGGAUGUAACACGCUCACACAGGAAGCUGCUUGCUAGCUAACAAACAGACGGACAUGCUACUAACAGCAGGCCUGGAGUCAGUGCCUGCUGUCAACGUGGGCGAUGCGGUCAGAUUAGGUGCUGCUGCAGAAACAGGAGAAACGUGCAAUAAGCAAAAAACUGAUGGAGCACAAAGUGUAGCUGGUACGUGACAGGUGUGCCACAGCUGUAUCGUUUUGGCUCAUCUUCAAGGAGCAGUCACAUUGUGAGUGUUGGAAAGUAUUUUUGAUUCAGAUGCUCAAGACAUUCAUCUGGAUUCAUUUCCAGAUGUUCAGCGUUAUGCACAGAACUCGAAGGACGGUGAAAAAAUCCUCUUGACAUGCAUCGCCAGAGGCCAGGGAGCCAUCGACGUGGAGAUCAAGCGUAACGGGGAGACUGUAACUGAAGAGAAGGGUCUGAUGAGAUCAGACACUGAGACAAACAAAGACGGCACCUUGGAGAUAAGAGCCCAUGUGGAGAUUUCAAAGGAUGACAAGUCUAAGUACAGCUAUGAAGUCAUUUAUAAGAACCAGAACAUUAAGCAUGACUUCGACUGUGCAUUGACCUGGAGAGGACCAUCAGAAGUCCAGCGGAGGUGGACAGAGAUCCAUAAUCUGGAGGACUACACCACCGACCCAGUUGUUUCUGACACCUGAGUCGCUGACAGCUGUAUCCCGGACCGAGACGCUGAGUCCUGUGGAGCCCUGAAGUCUCCAUCAGAUCUACACACAACACCAGAUUUACCAAAACAUAUUUACCAGUGUGCAGAGCAUUAAGACUAAGGGUUUUUUUAAGUAGCACAUUUUCCUUUUAAUGCAUUGUACAGAUUAGGAAACUGAUGAGUCAGCAUUAAAAUGAGGUUCUUUGAAAUGAGUUUUUAAAAACGUGCCUGUUUAAGCUGAACCUCAGUCACAGUGAACGUCACAUGAGGUCAGAGGUGAAUUCAGGAUUUUAUGUAUUUUAAUAAAACUAUCUCAGUUUGUUCAUAAGUCUUGUUUCAUUAUUAUUGUGUUUCCUGGUGUAAUUUCAAGUGAGCCCUGCAGACUGGCCACAUGAGCAGCGUAUCCAGAAAAGGAUGGAUGGAGAAUUUCAUGCAGUCCUUGUUGGAGCGAUUUGUUCUUUAUUUUUAAAUAAGUUUGUUGUUGGUUUACU